UCUCGGUCUCUACAGUGGAUGUAUUUUAAGACCAAUCAGAGGCGGUUGCUAGGCGGGCCAGAAUCUGUCGGCCAAUCAGCGUUUUUCUGCCGAUUAGCUGACGUAUGUCGUCAUCGGUCGCGACGUGUCCCGUAAUUGGUCAUGAUUUUGUGGGCGGGGCGUAGAGAGGCGGAGAGAGGAAGUUGGAAAACAGAUUUAAACCACUUUUGAACCGCUGCCUCUGUUUGCUUGUGCUCUGAGAAAACGUUGUUACCGGAGAGGUUUGGAUGUUAAAACAAACCCUGCAGCUGCUUUUCUGUCCUUGAUGAAGAAGUCUGGAUGCUAAAACAAACACUGGAGCUGCUUUUUGUCGAACACGAUUGAAACUGGACGCUGAAGCAUGGAACUAAGGUUUACUGGUUCAGCUGCUGCAGCCUGGACAGAAACACCAGCUCUCACCUGACAAACCAAACAGGUGUCACCACUUCGUUCACAACGUCAUCCAUGAUCACAGAAAUGUAGUCAAUGAUCAGAGAGUCUUAGGACAGUGAAGAAGUUCUUUGUAACCAGAACUGAGGCCUCCAGGUUUUCAGCUGCUGUCGUCUUCUCCUGCAGAGACAAAAAGGUGUGUCCAUACUAUGACAUUUUUGACCAUUUUCAUGCCUUAUACUGUGACAUUUUUUUGACUGUUGUAAAUAUCUUACACAUGUGGCUUAAGACCAAGGAACUAUCUUAAAGCAGCCGUCCUACCCAUGUUUUUCACAGACAUAUUCACACACAGACCUCUACACAGUGUUUGUGGUUUAGGUUAGAUUUUGUGUUUAUCAUUUUGUUAUUUUAAACAGUGCAAUAUCAAUACUCAAACCCAAUCAAGUAGUGUGUACAUAGUCCUGUUAAUACUGUUUUCAAUUUUUUUAUAUUGUUAUAUAUUAUCUUGAUUUAUGUCUUGUCUUGUUUAUAUAAUGCCUUUUCUGUUUUUGCAACACUGAAUUUCCCCGCUGUGCGGAGGAUUAUCUUACUGUUACUCAAAUAAAUACUUCUGAACACUGAA
Lates calcarifer (barramundi perch) is the source of this 1030-nucleotide long non-coding RNA. RefSeq lists it as uncharacterized. NCBI's taxonomy places the organism in Eukaryota, Metazoa, Chordata, Actinopteri, Centropomidae. The record is from RefSeq and is a predicted model, not a curated record. The transcript has 4 exons.